UCGAGGAUCUUCGGCAAUGAGCGAAAGCUUGACCGAGCGACGCCGCGUGCGGGAUGAAGGCCUUCGGGUUGUAAACCGCUUUCGUAGGGGAGGAAAUUUCGGUGGGAUCACUCAUCGAUUUGACCUAGCCUAGGAAGAAGGACGGGCUAAGUUCGUGCCAGCAGCCGCGGUAAUACGAACCGUCCAAACGUUAUUCGGAAUUACUGGGCUUAAAGGGUGCGUAGGCGGCCCGGGAAGUUGGGUGUGAAAGCCCUCGGCUCAACCGAG
This 267-nucleotide ribosomal RNA is filed under the name uncultured bacterium. Its description in RNAcentral is "partial 16S ribosomal RNA". It matches the Rfam family "Bacterial small subunit ribosomal RNA", at positions 355 to 617 of the family's 1533-position model. The record is from RNAcentral.